GCAAAGGUAGCUUAACCAGACUAAAGCAUAGAACUGAAAAUUCUACAAAGAGGGUUAAAGUCCCUCCCUUAGCA
RNAcentral lists this transfer RNA (74 nucleotides) under Sinaechinocyamus mai. Its description in RNAcentral is "tRNA-Phe". It matches the Rfam family "tRNA". Rfam says of the family: Transfer RNA (tRNA) molecules are approximately 80 nucleotides in length. The record is from RNAcentral. Lineage: Eukaryota; Metazoa; Echinodermata; Echinoidea; Clypeasteroida; Taiwanasteridae.